GUUGGGUAGGGGAGCGUUCUGUAAGCCUGCGAAGGUGGCCUGUGAGGGUUGCUGGAGGUAUCAGAAGUGCGAAUGCUGACAUAAGUAACGAUAAAGCGGGUGAAAAGCCCGCUCGCCGGAAGACCAAGGGUUCCUGUCCAACGUUAAUCGGGGCAGGGUGAGUCGACCCCUAAGGCGAGGCCGAAAGGCGUAGUCGAUGGGAAACGGGUUAAUAUUCCCGUACUUGGUGUUACUGCGAAGGGGGGACGGAGAAGGCUAUGUUGGCCGGGCGACGGUUGUCCCGGUUUAAGCGUGUAGGCUGGUUUUCCAGGCAAAUCCGGAAAAUCAAGGCUGAGGCGUGACGACGAGGCACUACGGUGCUGAAGCAACAAAUGCCCUGCUUCCAGGAAAAGCCUCUAAGCAUCAGGUAACAUCAAAUCGUACCCCAAACCGACACAGGUGGUCAGGUAGAGAAUACCAAGGCGCUUGAGAGAACUCGGGUGAAGGAACUAGGCAAAAUGGUGCCGUAACUUCGGGAGAAGGCACGCUGACAUGUAGGUGAAGUGAUUUACUCAUGGAGCUGAAGUCAGUCGAAGAUACCAGCUGGCUGCAACUGUUUAUUAAAAACACAGCACUGUGCAAACACGAAAGUGGACGUAUACGGUGUGACGCCUGCCCGGUGCCGGAAGGUUAAUUGAUGGGGUCAGCGCAAGCGAAGCUCCUGAUCGAAGCCCCGGUAAACGGCGGCCGUAACUAUAACGGUCCUAAGGUAGCGAAAUUCCUUGUCGGGUAAGUUCCGACCUGCACGAAUGGCGUAAUGAUGGCCAGGCUGUCUCCACCCGAGACUCAGUGAAAUUGAACUCGCUGUGAAGAUGCAGUGUACCCGCGGCAAGACGGAAAGACCCCGUGAACCUUUACUAUAGCUUGACACUGAACAUUGAGCCUUGAUGUGUAGGAUAGGUGGGAGGCUUUGAAGUGUGGACGCCAGUCUGCAUGGAGCCGACCUUGAAAUACCACCCUUUAAUGUUUGAUGUUCUAACGUGGACCCGUUACCCGGGUUGCGGACAGUGUCUGGUGGGUAGUUUGACUGGGGCGGUCUCCUCCUAAAGAGUAACGGAGGAGCACGAAGGUUGGCUAAUCCUGGUCGGACAUCAGGAGGUUAGUGCAAUGGCAUAAGCCAGCUUGACUGCGAGCGUGACGGCGCGAGCAGGUGCGAAAGCAGGUCAUAGUGAUCCGGUGGUUCUGAAUGGAAGGGCCAUCGCUCAACGGAUAAAAGGUACUCCGGGGAUAACAGGCUGAUACCGCCCAAGAGUUCAUAUCGACGGCGGUGUUUGGCACCUCGAUGUCGGCUCAUCACAUCCUGGGGCUGAAGUAGGUCCCAAGGGUAUGGCUGUUCGCCAUUUAAAGUGGUACGCGAGCUGGGUUUAGAACGUCGUGAGACAGUUCGGUCCCUAUCUGCCGUGGGCGCUGGAGAACUGAGGGGGGCUGCUCCUAGUACGAGAGGACCGGAGUGGACGCAUCACUGGUGUUCGGGUUGUCAUGCCAAUGGCACUGCCCGGUAGCUAAAUGCGGAAGAGAUAAGUGCUGAAAGCAUCUAAGCACGAAACUUGCCCCGAGAUGAGUUCU
Molecule: ribosomal RNA, 1605 nt
Filed under: Salmonella enterica subsp. enterica serovar Bovismorbificans str. Sal616
Lineage: Bacteria; Pseudomonadati; Pseudomonadota; Gammaproteobacteria; Enterobacterales; Enterobacteriaceae
Also listed under: 1 other name
Description: bacterial LSU rRNA
Rfam family: Bacterial large subunit ribosomal RNA
Source: RNAcentral